ACACACACACACACACACACACACACACACUCAUAAACGUAGAGGGGAGGAGAAACAAUGAGAACAGGUAGGAACCUGUAGCUGAAAUAGUUCAGUCCUUUCAGACUCCAGUUAGAGUCCCAGAACUGAAGGCUGAGGCAGGAAAAUGGAUUAAGAAAUGAUAAAAGAAGUGGUGUCAUUCUUACCAUGUCUCUCUGGUGAAACCUUGACGUCACUGCUUGAUGGAUUGCAAGAGCUUGGUGUGGGAAAACCUCAGACCUAUUCAGUGAAGAAAAUACUAAUGGAUUUGAGGGGCUGUCUUGGACAUUAAUCUAGGGACAGGCACAAAGUGAAAGAGGCAGUGAGGACAUAUCAACCAACAGAUUGAAUGAACUCCAGAAGAUGAGUGUUUGUGUGGAGGAAGAGGAGGACAGAGCAGAGUCUGCUGUAUCCAGCUGUCUGUCUAUGAAGAGUGACCGAUCUAAAGAGUAUACUCCAAACUUCAGCAAUGGACCUGGACCCUCAGACACAAACGCAUCAUUCGCUCUGCAGAGAAGGUGAUUGGCUGCAAUCUUCCAUCACUUCAGGACCUG
Molecule: long non-coding RNA, 572 nt
Organism: Micropterus salmoides (largemouth bass)
Lineage: Eukaryota; Metazoa; Chordata; Actinopteri; Centrarchiformes; Centrarchidae
Exons: 5
Source: RefSeq, a predicted model, not a curated record